GACGAACGCUGGCGGCGUGCUUAACACAUGCAAGUCGAACGGAAAGGCCCUGCUUUUGUUGGGUGCUCGAGUGGCGAACGGGUGAGUAACACGUGAGUAACCUGCCCUUUACUUUGGGAUAACUUCAGGAAACUGGGGCUAAUACCUGAUAGGAGCUCCUGCUGCAUGGUGGGGUUUGGAAAGUUUCGGCGGUUGGGGAUAGACUCGCGGCUUAUCAGCUUGUUGGUGGGGUAGUGGCUUACCAAGGCUUUGACGGGUAGCCGGCCUGAGAGGGGGACCGGCGACAUGGGGACUAAGAGACGGACCAGAAGCGUACGGGAGGCAGAAGGGGGGAAUAUGGCACAAUGGGCGGAAGCCUGAGGCAGAAGCGCCGGGUGCGGGAUGACGGCCUUCGGGUGAUAAACAGAUUUGGACUGUGACGAAGCGUGAGUGACGGUAAUGGGUAAAGAAGCACCGGCUAACUACGUG
RNAcentral lists this ribosomal RNA (468 nucleotides) under uncultured bacterium. RNAcentral describes it as "partial 16S ribosomal RNA". It matches the Rfam family "Bacterial small subunit ribosomal RNA", at positions 28 to 507 of the family's 1533-position model. The record is from RNAcentral.